UUGCACAGGUGCUGCAUGGCUGUCGUCAGCUCGUGUCGUGAGAUGUCGGUUAAGUCCGCUAACGAGCGCAACCCUCGCUGUGUGUUACAAGUGUCACACGGUACUGCCGGUCUUAAGCCGGAGGAAGGUGGGGAUGACGUCAAGUCAGCAUGGCCUUUAUGUCCUGGGCUACACACACGCUACAAUGGCCAACACAAUAGGUUGCUAAGCCGCGAGGUGGAGCCAAUCCUCAAAGUUGGUCUCAGUUCAGAUUGCAGGCUGCAACCCGCCUGCAUGAAGAUGGAGUUGCUAGUAACCGCAGGUCAGCUAUACUGCGGUGAAUACGUUCCCGGGGCUU
RNAcentral lists this ribosomal RNA (337 nucleotides) under uncultured Leptolinea sp. RNAcentral's name for it is "bacterial SSU rRNA". It matches the Rfam family "Bacterial small subunit ribosomal RNA", at positions 1030 to 1382 of the family's 1533-position model. Lineage: Bacteria; Bacillati; Chloroflexota; Anaerolineae; Anaerolineales; Anaerolineaceae. The record is from RNAcentral.